RNAcentral lists this transfer RNA (84 nucleotides) under Opitutales bacterium. Its description in RNAcentral is "tRNA-Leu". It matches the Rfam family "tRNA". Rfam says of the family: Transfer RNA (tRNA) molecules are approximately 80 nucleotides in length. Their secondary structure includes four short double-helical elements and three loops (D, anti-codon, and T loops). Lineage: Bacteria; Pseudomonadati; Verrucomicrobiota; Opitutia; Opitutales. The record is from RNAcentral.
GCUCGGGUGGCGGAAUAGGUAGACGCAUCGGCUUUAGGCGCCGGUGUCCGCAAGGACGUAGGAGUUCGAGCCUCCUCUCGAGCA